This 219-nucleotide unclassified non-coding RNA is filed under the name uncultured fungus. RNAcentral describes it as "sequence contains ITS1". Lineage: Eukaryota; Fungi. The record is from RNAcentral.
UUGUUUCGUUUCUGUACAUAGACAUUUUUUACAGGUAAAGUUUGUAAAGUGCAAGUCCAAGGGGCUGUGCCGAUGGGCCUCGCAGACAGUUCACAGGUGUUGUGGAUGUGUAUUCCAGGAAUCGGCCACAAGGGACCGAGACCCGCCCGACGACAGGCGUGCCUGCCGCCGGGAGAUUCGAAUUCACUAAUGAUCCUUCCGCAGGUUCACCUACGGAAA